GGUUAAGCGACUAAGCGUACACGGUGGAUGCCCUGGCAGUCAGAGGCGAUGAAGGACGUGCUAAUCUGCGAAAAGCGUCGGUAAGGUGAUAUGAACCGUUAUAACCGGCGAUGUCCGAAUGGGGAAACCCAGUGUGUUUCGACACACUAUCAUUAACUGAAUCCAUAGGUUAAUGAGGCGAACCGGGGGAACUGAAACAUCUAAGUACCCCGAGGAAAAGAAAUCAACCGAGAUUCCCCCAGUAGCGGCGAGCGAACGGGGAGGAGCCCAGAGCCUGAAUCAGUGUGUGUGUUAGUGGAAGCGUCUGGA
This 309-nucleotide ribosomal RNA is filed under the name Escherichia albertii. Its description in RNAcentral is "partial 23S ribosomal RNA". It matches the Rfam family "Bacterial large subunit ribosomal RNA", at positions 1 to 314 of the family's 2925-position model. Lineage: Bacteria; Pseudomonadati; Pseudomonadota; Gammaproteobacteria; Enterobacterales; Enterobacteriaceae. The record is from RNAcentral.